This 1276-nucleotide ribosomal RNA is filed under the name metagenome. RNAcentral describes it as "SSU rRNA". It matches the Rfam family "Eukaryotic small subunit ribosomal RNA", at positions 513 to 1783 of the family's 1831-position model. The record is from RNAcentral.
AAUGAGGGAGAGCUAAACGGACCAUCGAGUAUCCAUUGGAGGGCAAGUCUGGUGCCAGCAGCUGCGGUAAUACCAGCUCCAAUAGCGUAUAUUAAAGUUGUUGCAUUAAAAAGCUCGUAGUUGGACUUGUGUGCGCUGUCCGCGGGUGGCCUGCGCCCAAAAGGGCGUUUCGGUUCGGCCCCGGUGGCGCCUUGAAAUCUGCAGCUGGGGGGACGUUGGCCUUAACUGGUCGGCGACCGCACGCCGGCUGCUCGGUUACUGUGAGAAAAUUAGAGUGUUCAAGGCAGGCAUUGGGUGCAAUUGAAUACAUUAGCAUGGAAUAAUAAAAUAUGGCUCCUGCCGUAUUUUGUUGGUUUUGACUGGUGGGAGUAAUGAUUGAUAGGGACGGUUGGGGGUGCUAGUAUUGAGCGGCCAGAGGUGAAAUUCAUGGAUUCGCUCAAGACUAACUUAUGCGAAAGCAUUCACCAAGGACGUCCUCUUUAAUCAAGAACGAAAGUUGGGGGAUCGAAGACGUUCAGAUACCGUCGUAGUCUCAACCAUAAACUAUGUCGACUUGGGAUCGGCGGUAGUUUUUUCAUUAAGACACUGUCGGGACCACGGGAGAAAUCAAAGUGUCUGGACUCUGGGGGAAGUAUGGUCGCAAGGCUGAAACUUGAAGGAAUUGACGGAAGGGCACCACCAGGAGUGGAGCCUGCGGCUUAAUUUGACCCAACACGGGGAAACUUACCAGGUCCAGAGAUGUAGAGGAUUGACAGAUUGAAGCUCUUUCUUGAUCACUUCGGUGGUGGUGCAUGGCCGUUCUUAGUUGGUGGAGUGAUUUGUCUGGUUAAUUCCGUUAACGAACGAGACCUCAGCCUGCUAGUGUAGUCGGCUGGAUUGCCUUUGGCGAUCCGUGAUUUCGACUUCUUAGAGGGGCAAUCGACGCGCAGUCGAUGGAAGUUUGAGGCAAUAACAGGUCUGUGAUGCCCUUAGAUGUUCUGGGCCGCACGCGCGCUACACUGCUGGGCUCAGCGAGUUUUACUUGGCCGAGAGGCCCGGUUAAUCUUGUGAAAUCCCAGCGUGCUUGGGCUCGCCUCCUGCAACUGGAGGCGCCAACGAGGAAUUCCUAGUAGACGCAGGUCAUCAACCUGCAUCGAUUACGUCUCUGCCCUUUGUACACACCGCCCGUCGUUCCAUAAGAGUGAGGCGUCCGGUGAAUUCUCGGGAGAGCCUGGGCGUGGCCAGCAAUGGUCUGCUCGGGUUUGAACUUGCAUAAACUUGGUGCCUAUGAUUAGGG